Bactrocera tryoni is the source of this 632-nucleotide long non-coding RNA. RefSeq lists it as uncharacterized. The transcript has 3 exons. Lineage: Eukaryota; Metazoa; Arthropoda; Insecta; Diptera; Tephritidae. The record is from RefSeq and is a predicted model, not a curated record.
UUUUUAGAGAUCAUAAUAAAGUGCACCUCGAAGGAGCAAAUAGAGUGCUAUCUCAACUUUGUGCGGGUUCACCCGGAUAAAGUUGCAUAAAAACGACCCAUCGCGGUCGAAAAGAAUGGAGGAGCUUUGGGCUGAACUCUCCGUGCAAUUAAAUGCCCUAAAAGGGCCCACCCGGAACCCCAUACAAUGGAGAGAGAAUCUGAGCCACUGGAAAAACCAAAUAAGGUCACGUGCAAGGAAAGUCAAGGCGCACAAGCUGGUGACGGGUGGCGGACCCAGCUAAACAAGUGAGCUCUCUGAAACGGAGCAGAGAGCGUUAGAAACGUUAGGGUCAAUUGCGGUUAAUGGGUUGACUGAUGUACCAGCCAUUGGCACAGAGGAAGAAGUAGUUUUCACAGCUGCACCAUCACCCCUAAAUACGACUUCGUAUGCGUCCAAUGAUUGCACUCCGUCAUCGUCCCGUAGUAAAAAAAUUACGACGGACGAAAUGUUCCGAAAUUAUAUGGAUUUAAUGAAAGGAAAAGCCGAGGAGGAGAGAGCUUUCCGGAUUCAAACUUUAGAUUCCAUUAAUAAACAUACGGAAUCCAUUAAUAACUUAGCGGCAGCGAUGGUAUCGCUUGCUCAGACCAUCG